Molecule: ribosomal RNA, 492 nt
Filed under: uncultured bacterium
Lineage: Bacteria
Description: partial 16S ribosomal RNA
Rfam family: Bacterial small subunit ribosomal RNA
Source: RNAcentral
AGUGAACGCUGGCGGUAGGCCUAACACAUGCAAGUCGAACGGCAGCACAGUAAGAGCUUGCUCUUACGGGUGGCGAGUGGCGGACGGGUGAGGGAUACAUCGGAAUCUACUUUUUCGUGGGGGAUAACGUAGGGAAACUUACGCUAAUACCGCAUACGACCUACGGGUGAAAGCAGGGGAUCUUCGGACCUUGCGCGAUUGAAUGAGCCGAUGUCGGAUUAGCUAGUUGGCGGGGUAAAGGCCCACCAAGGCGACGAUCCGUAGCUGGUCUGAGAGGAUGAUCCGCCACACUGGAACUGGGGCACCGUCCAGGCUCCUACGGGAGGCCGCAGUGGGGAAUGUUGGGAAAUGGGGGGCAACCUUGUCCAACCCAUCCGCGUGGGGUAAGGAGGGCUUCCGGUUUUUAAGCCCCUUUGUUGGGAAAGAAAAGCAGCAGGUUAAUACCCCGCUGUUCUGACGGUACCCAAAGAAUAAGCACCGGCUAACUUCGUG